Unclassified non-coding RNA from Cricetulus griseus (Chinese hamster), 309 nucleotides. Its record names the gene 7SK. It matches the Rfam family "7SK RNA". Rfam says of the family: 7SK was discovered as an abundant small nuclear RNA in the mid-70s but a possible function has only recently been suggested. Two independent studies have found that 7SK RNA binds the CDK9/cyclin T complex (known as elongation factor P-TEFb). Lineage: Eukaryota; Metazoa; Chordata; Mammalia; Rodentia; Cricetidae. The record is from Ensembl.
ACAUGUGAGGGCAAUUGUAUGUGACAUCUGUCACCCUGCUAAUCAUCGGUAUUCACUUGGUCAUGGAUGUCUUAUCCUUGCACCCCCUCUGUGUGUCCCCUAUCCCCAAGCUAUUGACACUCAAAGACCAGAGCCUCCCAAGUUAAGGGGUACCCUUCUUUGGUCAAGGGUAUAUGAAUAGCUGCACUUCUUUGUUAAAACCACCAAACAAGUUCACAAGGAAGCCAUUUCAACUUUUGAUGCAAAUUGUGUGUUUAAAAAUUAAGAAAACCCCCUACUCCAUGGAAAACAGAGUGGGGACAAUGACUU